RNAcentral lists this ribosomal RNA (417 nucleotides) under Triticum aestivum (bread wheat). RNAcentral's name for it is "partial small subunit ribosomal RNA". The record is from RNAcentral. Lineage: Eukaryota; Viridiplantae; Streptophyta; Magnoliopsida; Poales; Poaceae.
AUGUGGGCCAUGCAGCCGUACUCACGGGCGUGGGCGGCCACGGGGACAGCGUUGGCCGGGGUUGAGGGUGUCCUCGCUGCUCUUGGACGCCACCAGCGCCGCCGUGAACUGCCCAAAAGUCCGGCCGUACACGUUGACCUGCAGGUUGUCGAGCGCGUCGCGGAGCAGGCCAGCGGUGCCGUCGUAAUGCGCAGGCAGUGGUUGAACCGCGCGCUGCGCGAGCAGUCGGUGUCGGCGGCGUCAUCAGCCUCGAGCUCCACCAAGCACCAGAUCGCCGAUCUUGGACUCUGUGCUGGCGGCAUGGUCGACGGCGAUCCUUUGGCGAGCAUCGCACAUCGCAGGCCUUGGAUCACCGAGGCGGGGGAGGCCUCGGAGCUCCGUGGGUCCACGCCAAGGGAGCGCAACCAGUGGUCGUAG